Drosophila melanogaster (fruit fly) is the source of this 69-nucleotide non-coding RNA. NCBI's taxonomy places the organism in Eukaryota, Metazoa, Arthropoda, Insecta, Diptera, Drosophilidae. The record is from Rfam.
CAAAGUAAUUUUCGUGCUCUCAACAAUUGUCGCCGUCACAGAUUGUUGUUCGAGCCGAAUCUUACUUCU